This is a small nucleolar RNA of Myotis myotis, 73 nucleotides long. RefSeq annotates it as small nucleolar RNA SNORD50. The record is from RefSeq and is a predicted model, not a curated record. The transcript has a single exon. Lineage: Eukaryota; Metazoa; Chordata; Mammalia; Chiroptera; Vespertilionidae.
UAUCUAUGAUUAUCCUAUCCUGAACCUGAAUUUCUGUUGCAAAAACUUAAUAUACGGAUCUAGCUUCUGAAAU